CCUACGGGAGGCAGCAGUGAGGAAUAUUGGACAAUGGGCGCAAGCCUGAUCCAGCCAUGCCGCGUGCAGGAUGACGGUCCUAUGGAUUGUAAACUGCUUUUGUACAGGAAGAAACACUCCGACGUGUCGGAGCUUGACGGUACUGUAAGAAUAAGGAUCGGCUAACUCCGUGCCAGCAGCCGCGGUAAUACGGAGGAUCCAAGCGUUAUCCGGAAUCAUUGGGUUUAAAGGGUCCGUAGGCGGUUUAGUAAGUCAGUGGUGAAAGCCCAUCGCUCAACGGUGGAACGGCCAUUGAUACUGCUAGACUUGAAUUAUUAGGAAGUAACUAGAAUAUGUAGUGUAGCGGUGAAAUGCUUAGAGAUUACAUGGAAUACCAAUUGCGAAGGCAGGUUACUACUAAUUGAUUGACGCUGAUGGACGAAAGCGUGGGUAGCGAACAGGAUUAGAUACCCUGGUACGUCCACGCCGUAAACAUAGGAUACUAGCUGUUGGGAGCAAUUUCAGUGGCUAAGCGAAAGUGAUAAGUAUCCACCUGGGGAUACGUUCGCAAGAAUGAAACGUUAAGGAAAUUGACGGUGNGAGACGUAGACGACGACGACGACGAGGGAGGAGG
This 613-nucleotide ribosomal RNA is filed under the name uncultured bacterium. RNAcentral's name for it is "bacterial SSU rRNA". It matches the Rfam family "Bacterial small subunit ribosomal RNA", at positions 338 to 951 of the family's 1533-position model. The record is from RNAcentral.